AGAGUUUGAUCAUGGCUCAGAACGAACGCUGGCGGCAGGCCUCAAACAUGCAAGUCUAGGGGGUGUAGCAAUACAUCACCGGCGGACGGGUGCGUAACGCGUGGGAAUAUACCUAUUGGUUCGGAACAACUGCGGGAAACUGCAGCUAAUACCGAAUGUGCCCUUACGGGGAAAGAUUUAUCGCCGAAGGAUCGGCCCGCGUAAGAUUAGCUAGUUGGUGAGGUAACGGCUCACCAAGGCUCUGAUCUUUAGCUGGUCUGAGAGGACGAUCAGCCACACUGGGACUGAGACACGGCCCAGACUCCUACGGGAGGCAGCAGUGGGGAAUAUUGGACAAUGGGCGCAAGCCCGAUCCAGCCAUGCCGCGUGAGUGAUGAAGGCCUUAGGGUUGUAAAGCUCUUUUGGCAGGGACGAUAAUGACUGUACCUGCAGAAUAAGCCCCGGCCAACUUCGUGCCAGCAGCCGCGGUAAUACGAAGGGGGCUAGCGUUGCUCGGAAUCACUGGGCGUAAAGCGCACGUAGGCGGGUUGUUAAGUCAGGGGUGAAAUCCUGGAGCUCAACUCCAGAACUGCCUUUGAUACUGGCAAUCUUUGAGUCCGGGAGAGGUGGGUGGAACUGCGAGUGUAGAGGUGAAAUUCGUAGAUAUUCGCAAGAACACCAGUGGCGAAGGCGGCUCACUGGCCCGGUACUGACGCUGAGGUGCGAAAGCGUGGGGAGCAAACAGGAUUAGAUACCCUAGUAGUCC
Molecule: ribosomal RNA, 745 nt
Filed under: uncultured bacterium
Lineage: Bacteria
Description: bacterial SSU rRNA
Rfam family: Bacterial small subunit ribosomal RNA
Source: RNAcentral